UAAUACGUAGGGUGCAAGCGUUGUUCGGAAUCACUGGGCAUAAAGCGCAUGUAGGCGGCUCGAUCAGUCGGGUGUGAAAGCCCCUGGCUCAACCAGGGAACUGCAUUCGAUACUGUCGGGCUCGAGGGUGGAAGAGGAGAGUGGAACUCGUAGUGGAGCGGUGAAAUGCGUAGAUAUUACGAGGAACACCGGUGGCGAAAGCGACUCUCUGGUCCAUUCCUGACGCUGAGAUGCGAAAGCCAGGGGAGCAAACGGGAUUAGAUACCCCGGUAGUCCUGGCCCUAAACGAUGGGUACUAGGUAGAGGCGGCACCGACGUCGUCCCUGCCGGAGCCAAUGUUUUAAGUACCCCGCCUGGGGAGUACGGUCGCAAGAUUG
RNAcentral lists this ribosomal RNA (377 nucleotides) under uncultured bacterium. Its description in RNAcentral is "bacterial SSU rRNA". It matches the Rfam family "Bacterial small subunit ribosomal RNA", at positions 521 to 896 of the family's 1533-position model. The record is from RNAcentral.